UUUAAUAUUUUGCUUACUCGCGAUCCAAAAACCUCUACCGAAUCGUUAGUUCCCUGUUUUAAUCCCAUGAAUUCCUCGUUAAUACUAUGCAUAUUAAACGAACGCACGUAUGCCCUUUUAAGUAAUCCAAUUAAUUCAGCUAAUGUACUUGGUUCCCGGCGAUUUGAAAGUACUAAUUUUGCAUGUCCCCCGAUUUUACCACGAAUUAAGAACAGAAGACCAGCUCUAUCCUCAGGCUUUACUUUGGAAUUAAUUAAUUGACACUCCUUAAUGAAUUCAGUCAGAGAACAAGAUUUUCCAUCAAACUGAGGUAUCAAAUCCUUCACUAAAGAGAGACGAAGAUAUGACUCUGGAAGCGUACUAGAUGACUCUAUAGAGAUUGGAGUAUUUUUAGAAACAGCAGCAGCAACCACAGUUGAGGACAAAGAUCGGUAGAAGAUGCCCCGGGAGAUGAAGAAGAUUCUGCAUUUGAUGAAUCUAUGUUUAACUCCUCUACCAAAAAUGUAUUUUCCCGCAGGCCGAUUUUGCGACUCCUUUUGGCGCGCAUGUACUUUAACUUAUACGGCGGCAUUUUGUCAAAUUAUUUCUAACGGUUUCACUUAACGAGUUUUCUAUUUUCAAACACCAAACUCCGUCCGUCGGUUAUCCGUUAUAUCGGUUGGCCUUGAAUCACGGGAAGAUCCUCUGGUUCUGUGAUUUGAUGAUGAUCUCUGUU
This is a long non-coding RNA of Osmia bicornis bicornis, 715 nucleotides long. RefSeq lists it as uncharacterized. Lineage: Eukaryota; Metazoa; Arthropoda; Insecta; Hymenoptera; Megachilidae. The record is from RefSeq and is a predicted model, not a curated record. The transcript has 3 exons.